Molecule: ribosomal RNA, 374 nt
Filed under: uncultured bacterium
Lineage: Bacteria
Description: bacterial SSU rRNA
Rfam family: Bacterial small subunit ribosomal RNA
Source: RNAcentral
GUAGUCCACGCCCUAAACGAUGUCAACUGGUUGUUGGAAGGGUAACCUUUUAGUAACGAAGCUAACGCGUGAAGUUGACCGCCUGGGGAGUACGGUCGCAAGAUUAAAACUCAAAGGAAUUGACGGGGACCCGCACAAGCGGUGGAUGAUGUGGUUUAAUUCGAUGCAACGCGAAAAACCUUACCUACACUUGACAUGCCAGAAAUCCUGCAGAGAUGUGGGAGUGCCGCAAGGAAUCUGGGCACAGGUGCUGCAUGGCUGUCGUCAGCUCGUGUCGUGAGAUGUUGGGUUAAGUCCCGCAACGAGCGCAACCCUUGUCACUAGUUGCUACAUUUAGUUGGGCACUCUAGUGAGACUGCCGGUGACAAACCGGA